RNAcentral lists this long non-coding RNA (217 nucleotides) under Mytilus galloprovincialis (Mediterranean mussel). Lineage: Eukaryota; Metazoa; Mollusca; Bivalvia; Mytilida; Mytilidae. The record is from RNAcentral.
AUUAUCAAACUGAUCUCGUUCGUAGCUGAUGUCACGUGACUUUAUAGCAAAUCAUUUCACAUUUACGAAGUGUUCUUCAUAACUAUAGUUAGUACAGAAAGUCUCUGCUUAUACAAAUCAGUCCGCCCGUUCGGCUGUCUCCGCACGGUAGUUAUUUAAAACCAUUACAUUGCUAGCAUUUUAAAACUCAUGUGAUAUAAAUUUUGGAAAUAUUGAU